GAUGAUACGCGAGGAACCUUACCCGGGCUUAAAUUGCAACCGGAUAUGGCGGAAACGCCAUAGCUAGCAAUAGCGGUUGUGAAGGUGCUGCAUGGUUGUCGUCAGCUCGUGCCGUGAGGUGUCGGCUUAAGUGCCAUAACGAGCGCAACCCUUGCCGAUAGUUACUAACAGGUCAUGCUGAGGACUCUGUCGGGACUGCCAUCGUAAGAUGUGAGGAAGGUGGGGAUGACGUCAAAUCAGCACGGCCCUUACGUCCGGGGCUACACACGUGUUACAAUGGGGGGUACAGAGGGCUGCUACCACGCAAGUGGAUGCCAAUCCCAAAAACCUCUCUCAGUUCGGAUUGAAGUCUGCAACCCGACUUCAUGAAGCUGGAUUCGCUAGUAAUCGCGCAUCAGCCACGGCGCGGUGAAUACGUUCCCGGGCCUUGUACACACCGCCCGUCAAGCCAUGGGAGCCGGGGGUACCUGAAGUGCGUAACCGCAAGGAGCGCCCUAGGGUAAAACUGGUGACUGGGGCUAAGUCGUAACAAGGUAGCCG
RNAcentral lists this ribosomal RNA (540 nucleotides) under uncultured bacterium. Its description in RNAcentral is "bacterial SSU rRNA". It matches the Rfam family "Bacterial small subunit ribosomal RNA", at positions 953 to 1502 of the family's 1533-position model. The record is from RNAcentral.